UUUUUGGGGAAUAAUUAAAAGUCUAAUCUGCCCACUGAUAUAUUAUUAAAGGGCUGCAGUAUUUUGACUGUACAAAGGUAGCAUAAUCAUUAGUCUCUUAAUUGGUGACUUGUAUGAAAGAUUGGAUGAAAUAUAAACUGUCUCUAAUUAAUUUAUAGAAUUUAAUUUUUUAGUUAAAAAGCUAAAAUAUAUUUAAAAGACGAGAAGACCCUAUAGAGUUUAAUAUAAAAUUUUAUUAUUAUUUAUAUAUAAAUUUUUAAAUUAAGAUAAAAUUUAAUAUUUUAUUGGGGUGAUAAAAAAAUUAAAUUAACUUUUUUUAAAAAUAGACAUUAAUUUAUGAAUAAUUGAUCCAUUUUUAGUGAUUAAAAGAAAAAAUUACCUUAGGGAUAACAGCGUAAUUUUUUUUUUUAGUUCAAAUAGGAAAAAAAGUUUGCGACCUCGAUGUUGGAUUAAGAUAAAAUUUAAAUGCAAAAGUUUAAAAUUUUGAUCUGUUCGAUCAUUAAAAUCUUACA
This 512-nucleotide ribosomal RNA is filed under the name Papilio clytia (common mime swallowtail). Its description in RNAcentral is "partial LSU rRNA". The stretch from base 386 to 512 matches the Rfam family "Bacterial large subunit ribosomal RNA", at positions 2473 to 2600 of the family's 2925-position model. Lineage: Eukaryota; Metazoa; Arthropoda; Insecta; Lepidoptera; Papilionidae. The record is from RNAcentral.